AGUCCUUCGCCGUCCCUCGCCGUCCUUCGCCAUCGCACGCCACCGCACCCCAUCUCUCGAAAUCUGCAGACAUCUUGAUUUUUCCCACGCUGUCUGUCAGGUCUCCGCCGCCACUCGACGCCAGGGCGCCGGGCCUUGUGGGCUGUGCUGCACCUCGGACGGCUUCGCACCAGCCAGCGCCCUCUCUCUCCUGCAGCACUCUGAUCUGCACCCCCUGAGGGGCUUCCACUGUCCGCGGGGUGAGAAUGCCCCUGGGAGUGUCACAUGACUGCCGCCCCAUGUGUGUGAGAGGCGUCCUCUGGGAGAGCAUGGAUCCUGAGGUCCCAGGAUUGUCAGCUGACCUCUGUCCUGUGUGCCCAGUGGCCCCAGGUGACGUGUCUUCAAGAAGAGGCUGAGCUGCGGUGCUUGUAAGAUGGGUCUGCUGUGUGCAGAGGCUCCAUGGGAUGUGUUGUCUUCAUAGUAGCAGGGCGCUGGACCAUGGGUCCGCAAGGUCUCAGCCUUAGAUCCAAGGACAGUCCAAGGAAGUCCUAAGACCAUGGAGUUGGUGAUCUGGGAUCUGGGUUUGCUGAUAUUUCUCACCGUGAAUCUCUUGGUGGUGUUUGUGGGCACGAGAGGGGCAGAGAAUGGAGAGUGAGGCUACCACAUGAAGCGUCACCAGAGCUGCUCCCUGCUGCCUGCUCAGAGCACCCCGGAUCCACUGUUCAAUCUGCACAAGAUUCGGGGUCCAGACAUGGGAGACUUCAGCUGCCUCAGAGGACCGUGGACAGGGAAGGCCAGCCUCGCAUCCCUCUGUCCAUGCCUGGAAUGACUUUAAUAACCAAGAGUUUUAUUUUUGAAUUUGUAGCUGUCGUUCACUUUUUACCCACCCAUUCAAUAAACCUUACAGAAUUGCUCCA
This 896-nucleotide long non-coding RNA is filed under the name Homo sapiens (human). RNAcentral's name for it is "small nucleolar RNA host gene 17, transcript variant 3 (SNHG17)". The record is from RNAcentral. Lineage: Eukaryota; Metazoa; Chordata; Mammalia; Primates; Hominidae.